This 58-nucleotide transfer RNA is filed under the name Chlorella variabilis. It matches the Rfam family "tRNA", at positions 16 to 71 of the family's 71-position model. From Rfam's summary of the family: Transfer RNA (tRNA) molecules are approximately 80 nucleotides in length. Their secondary structure includes four short double-helical elements and three loops (D, anti-codon, and T loops). The record is from Rfam by way of RNAcentral. Lineage: Eukaryota; Viridiplantae; Chlorophyta; Trebouxiophyceae; Chlorellales; Chlorellaceae.
UGGAUAAGGCGUCGGUCUACGGAACCGAAGAUUCCAGGUUCGAUCCCUGGCAGGAUCA